Molecule: ribosomal RNA, 495 nt
Filed under: uncultured bacterium
Lineage: Bacteria
Description: partial 16S ribosomal RNA
Rfam family: Bacterial small subunit ribosomal RNA
Source: RNAcentral
GACGAACGCUGGCGGCGUGCCUAAUACAUGCAAGUAGAACGCUGAAGGAGGAGCUUGCUCUUCUGGAUGAGUUGCGAACGGGUGAGUAACGCGUAGGUAACCUGCCUGGUAGCGGGGGAUAACUAUUGGAAACGAUAGCUAAUACCGCAUAAGAGUAGAUGUUGCAUGACAUUUGCUUAAAAGGUGCAAUUGCAUCACUACCAGAUGGACCUGCGUUGUAUUAGCUAGUUGGUGGGGUAACGGCUCACCAAGGCGACGAUACAUAGCCGACCUGAGAGGGUGAUCGGCCACACUGGGACUGAGACACGGCCCAGACUCCUACGGGAGGCAGCAGUAGGGAAUCUUCGGCAAUGGACGGAAGUCUGACCGAGCAACGCCGCGUGAGUGAAGAAGGUUUUCGGGUCGUAAAGCUCUGUUGUAAGAGAAGAACGAGUGUGAGAGUGGAAAGUUCACACUGUGACGGUAUCUGACCAGAAAGGGACGGCUAACUACGUG